Molecule: long non-coding RNA, 199 nt
Filed under: Capsicum annuum
Lineage: Eukaryota; Viridiplantae; Streptophyta; Magnoliopsida; Solanales; Solanaceae
Description: long non-coding RNA (CANN_LNC002571)
Source: RNAcentral
AGCUCAGAACGCGUUAGAAAAUCCACCACAACAUCACAAGGGUCUAUCAUAAAGACCAAAUCAAAUCUCUUUCUCAUUUAUCAAAUCAUAUCAAUUUGUGGAUUCCUAACUCAACACAUUUUAGCUCAAAACAUUUUAAUCUUCCUCAACAUCAACAAGGUAUCAAUGCAUUGAACCAUAACCGACUCGACAUUUGGAC